GCCUGGCUGGCUCAGUAGGUGAAGCAUGUGACUCUUGAUCUCGGGGUCAUGGCUUUGAGCCCCAUGUUGGGUA
Molecule: transfer RNA, 73 nt
Filed under: Felis catus (domestic cat)
Lineage: Eukaryota; Metazoa; Chordata; Mammalia; Carnivora; Felidae
Rfam family: tRNA
About the family: Transfer RNA (tRNA) molecules are approximately 80 nucleotides in length.
Source: Rfam by way of RNAcentral